This 448-nucleotide long non-coding RNA is filed under the name Homo sapiens (human). Its description in RNAcentral is "non-protein coding lnc-FSCN2-3:1". Lineage: Eukaryota; Metazoa; Chordata; Mammalia; Primates; Hominidae. The record is from RNAcentral.
GCAGGAAUUACUGAUAACUGUUAUUAUAACCAAUGCAGACUUUAAAAUCCCACCUGGACAUCGGGUGAGAGGAGGAGGGCAGGCAGCAAACCGACCUGCAGACCUGCAGAGGGGAGCCGUGUCCAGGGCCACUGCGUCCCCACCAGACAACAGCUACUAGAAGAGGAAAGUGGCCCUCACAGGCAGGGUGCCUGCCACCAAGCAGUCAGACAAGGGGGUAACCAAGAGCUCCCAGCCAGAAAAACAUGGGGGCAGGGAGGCCAAACAAAAAGCACUGAAAAUAAAGAGAAGGCUGGGUGGUGGCAGCAUCGGCCCCUCCCUGUGCGCCCCAAUUCCAGGUGCCACGUAGAGGCGAGAGGUCUUUCCAACACGGCGGGGGACUUGUCAACAGGAUUAGGCGUGAGGAGCCGCUCUGCGUUUCCAGUCUGGAGACUGCAUUCAGCCUGCA